CCAGGAGGUCCCGGAAGACCAGGACAUCCUCUUAGUAUGGUCAGCUUGUCAGAUUCCCCAACUCCAAUGAUCUUCACUUCUGUUGGUGUAGACCACAAGAGAAAGAAUUAAGGAGUCUGGACAAAUUUAAAUAACCAUGUAUCACAUAGAGUGAAAUAGCAUAAAAAGAAUUAAGACAAAGACAAGAAAAAGUGUACAAGUAGUAUCUGGUUAGUAGGUAUUCAAAAUAUGAUACUAAAAAAUUGCGCCUUGAAAAAACAAAACCAUGUAGGAAAACGUACGUUAUGGAGGACGGCACAUCACCAAGAGGAGCAAAGAACCGUCAUUAAACACGGCAGUGUCUCUGAUCAGGUCCGGUCAAACUAGUGUCAGUAAAGCAAACAAUAUAAACUAUAUCAGUUUAUUAUCCGGAGUAAUCCUUUCUUUUAUGUUUUGCCACUGGUUUUGAAUGCCCCGAGUGAAUGUUAUAUGUGCCAUUAUAUUGCAUGGCUUUUAAAGUUAUUAUAAAAGAUAUGUGAAUAAAUCUUUAUAGAAGAGUUCCUGCUUUUUACAGGAGA
This is a long non-coding RNA of Bombina bombina (fire-bellied toad), 557 nucleotides long. RefSeq lists it as uncharacterized. NCBI's taxonomy places the organism in Eukaryota, Metazoa, Chordata, Amphibia, Anura, Bombinatoridae. The record is from RefSeq and is a predicted model, not a curated record. The transcript is spliced from 2 exons.